CAGCCCUCGGAGAGCACAGCUGCGUCCUGCGCCGCCCUUCUCUCGGGCCCGGGCUGGGGAGGCGGAAGACAGAGCAGGCUCGCGAAGGAGCGGGCGCUUCACCGUCCGCACCCCGCAUCGCGAACAAAGGAGCCCGCGUGUGGUCGGACGGCUGCCGGGUUGUGAGCCCCGGUCCAGCCCCUCCAUCUCCCUGCCCUCCUGAUGAGGCCAUGGGCUCUGGCAGUGACUAAGUGGCCGCCCUCUGCCCCCGUGGGUCACUGUCGAGUCUCUACGAGACCUAGCAGCAGCCCAGGCCAGCUCUGGGGAAGCUGCUGCCCCGACCGCCACACCUCUCUGUAGAGGAGCACCGAGCUUCAGAAGCUCCUGCCGGCAGGAGCCCCCGAAUGCUGCACCCAGCCACCCAGCAGAGCCCGUUCAUGGUUGAUCUCCACGACCAGGUGCACCAGGGACCUGUCCCUCUGUCCUACACAGUCACCACAGUGACAACCCAAGGCUUCCCUUUGCCUGCAAGCCAACAUAUCCCUGGCUGCAGUGCCCAGCAGCUCCCAGCAUGCUCCGUGAUGUUCAGUGGGCAGCACUACCCCCUCUGCUGCCUCCCGCCUCCGCAGCUGAUCCAGGCGUGCACCAUGCAGCAGCUCCCCGUGCCCUACCACACCUACCCCCACCUCAUCUCCAGUGACCACUACAUCCUUCACCCCCCACCACCGGCCCCGCCGCCCCAACCUACCCACAUGGCAUCCCUUCCUCACCCCAAAAAAGGUUUUCAAACCCUUGUGGUUCCUGGGGCAGCGGAAUCGGCUCAUGGAUUGUGUCGGCUGCGGUGAGGAUUCCAACAAGCAGCUACUAGGGGGGAAUACACCUUUUCUUUUUAAUCAUUUAAGAAGAUUUAUGAAGCAAUUACUUAGGAUGUUUGUGAUUUGCCGACCUUGCUGUAGAUGCCAUGUUACCAAUGAUCUCCUGUGGUGGGGGCUGGCAUUGUUUACUCUUUAUUUACCAACUUCUGGCCUAGGCAUGACAGUGGGCACCUUCCCCAGCACUGCUGGGCCAGCGCCUGUGUUCUGUGUUAGAAGGUUUAUAUAUAUAUAACUGAACACACACACGCACACAUAUAUAAACACACGUGAUUUGGGGGCCCUGUUCCUUGCACAUCUUACAGUUACCUCAUUUUUCCCAUGUAUGUAUUUGAGAAAAUGCUAAUAUAUAGAGACAAAUGGUUCUUAAAGCUUAAAUGUGUGGUUUUUCCAUCCCAUUGGACUCACAUUGGUUUGUAGCAUUUAUCAUAACUAGUAUGUUGUACUAUAUAUGUGUAUACAUUUAACAUAACUAGUAUGUUGUACUAUAUAUGUGUAUACUGAUUGAAAUUUUUAACAGAUUUGUACUUUUUUUAAAAUGAAAGUUGCUAGUUCUGCUUG
This 1412-nucleotide long non-coding RNA is filed under the name Rattus norvegicus (Norway rat). Its description in RNAcentral is "long non-coding RNA NONRATT012294". The record is from RNAcentral. Lineage: Eukaryota; Metazoa; Chordata; Mammalia; Rodentia; Muridae.